Long non-coding RNA from Aegilops tauschii subsp. strangulata, 1199 nucleotides. RefSeq lists it as uncharacterized. The record is from RefSeq and is a predicted model, not a curated record. NCBI's taxonomy places the organism in Eukaryota, Viridiplantae, Streptophyta, Magnoliopsida, Poales, Poaceae.
AUGUAUGUUUGACCAUGUUUUAGAAAAAUAUAUAAAUAUCCACAACACGAAAAUUAUAUCAGUAUGUAACAGAAAUAAAUUGUCAUUUUUCUAAAUGAUUAAAAUUAAGUUUUCCUGCAUUUCAUUUGGAGGAAAUUAUUUUGGCCCUUGGCGCUCCUAUUUUUCUUUGCUAGAAAAUAUCUCCCUGUGUAUAUUCUCUCUCACCCACGCCGCCAUCUCCCCAGUUAUCUCCUUCAACCUCCAAAUCCAUCUAAUGGGAUCCCUCGCUGGCCGGUGAUGUGCAUCGCCUCCACACAGGAGCGGCGAUAGAUUCGUUUGGUGGCGGACUGAGGGAGACUCGGUGGGCGGCGAGCGAUUGGAUGCGGCGGAGGUUGGGGGACAGAGACCGGCCGGCGGUUGCCCCGGGGGCGGCGGCGGCCAUUGGGCGGAAGAUCGGAGGAAGCAUCUGCUGCGACGUACAACUUUGUCUUCAACCUAUAGGUGGAAUAUGCAGAGCAAUCACGGAAGUACAUCUGUGCCGCCUAGGGUAGCCACCCCAAAUUCGUCGUACAUACAGUUUGGGCGUACAUACAGUUUGUAUGUUCGCUCGGUUUGAUUGCUUCUCGGUUGGGUUGCUUGUUGUUUACAGAUCGUGGGGAGAGAUGAAAAACUAUCAGCCUGGACGGCGCUCGUCGUGUCCGGCGACAACCUGUUGCGUGGCAAUGACGGCUUUGCGGGGCGGCAGUGUUGGCACCAGGCGCCGGCGACCACCUUUGGCUCCGCUCCUUGUCACCGUUUUUCCAUCCGUCCUCGCGCGUUGCCCUCGCGGCAAAACUCUAGACAUCAGGUGGGGAUUGGUGACCAUCGGCGUUGUUGCCUUGGAGCUACCAGCUAACGAUUCCACCUCUGACGUUUCAUGCCCGAGUGCUAUUUAUUGGACUCACUCCACUUGAUCUCAAGUGAUGCGAUCAUACAGGGGAGAACAUUUCGAAGGAAUCAUGGACUAGAGGUGUAAGGUUACAUGACAAGCUAUUUUGCUCAUGCAGUUUGAUGAAAAAAUUCAUGAAAUCCACUUCCCUGUUUAUUUGGCUCAUGAUUAAUGUUUUUUAACAUCCAAAUGUUGGCUAGCAAUUGAUAUUCUAUGAUUAAACAUGUCAUAAUCCAUUGAUUUAUGGUCACUGUUACAUUUGAUAAUUUAUAAUCACAUAAAUGAACUUAAA